This 350-nucleotide long non-coding RNA is filed under the name Fukomys damarensis (Damara mole-rat). RNAcentral's name for it is "lncRNA (ENSFDAG00000032897.1)". The record is from RNAcentral. Lineage: Eukaryota; Metazoa; Chordata; Mammalia; Rodentia; Bathyergidae.
GUAAGAGCCCCUUUGUCCCACUGGCUUCACUCCAAACACUGAGAAGACUGCAACCUGGCAACAUUUUUAUUGGAGCACAUGAAGGAUGAAUGAUCAGUGACAGGUGAGGCUCUCUCCUCACCUGUCCCAUCUCAAGACUCCAAAAAGACUGAAGGAGAGCUGUGCCCUCCCCUGCCUGCACCAGCCCCAGUGAGGAAGACGAGAUUUGGGAAGGUCACGCUGAGAUCUGCUCUCUCUCUCUGGCCUGCUUGGGCACGGGACCGGGUAGCCGCACCCUCCCCUGCCUGUGCCACCACAAGCUCUAGCAAGGAAGGUAGCUGCAGAGGUGCCCCUGAAACACCCCACCCCCC